RNAcentral lists this transfer RNA (65 nucleotides) under Dermacentor marginatus. Its description in RNAcentral is "partial tRNA-Glu". Lineage: Eukaryota; Metazoa; Arthropoda; Arachnida; Ixodida; Ixodidae. The record is from RNAcentral. RNAcentral also lists the same sequence under 2 other names.
AUUUAAAUAGUGUAGUUUCAUAACACUUAACAUUUUCAUUGUUAAAACCUUUUUAAGUUUAAAUU